Molecule: ribosomal RNA, 301 nt
Filed under: uncultured bacterium
Lineage: Bacteria
Description: partial 16S ribosomal RNA
Rfam family: Bacterial small subunit ribosomal RNA
Source: RNAcentral
CAGCAGCCGCGGUAAUACGUAGGGUGCAAGCGUUGUCCGGAAUUAUUGGGCGUAAAGAGCUCGUAGGCGGUUUGUCGCGUCUGCUGUGAAAACGCGAGGCUCAACCUCGCGCCUGCAGUGGGUACGGGCAGACUAGAGUGCGGUAGGGAAGAUUGGAAUUCCUGGUGUAGCGGUGGAAUGCGCAGAUAUCAGGAGGAACACCGAUGGCGAAGGCAGAUCUCUGGGCCGUAACUGACGCUGAGGAGCGAAAGCGUGGGGAGCGAACAGGAUUAGAUACCCCCGUAGUCCCUGUCUCUUAUAC